GAUGAACGCUGGCGGCGUGCCUAAUACAUGCAAGUCGAGCGGACGGACGCGACGCUUGCUUCUCUGAUGUUAGCGGCGGACGGGUGAGUAACACGUGGAUAACCUACCUAUAAGACUGGGAUAACUUCGGGAAACCGGAGCUAAUACCGGAUAAUAUUUUGAACCGCAUGGUUCAAAAGUGAAAGACGGUCUUGCUGUCACUAAUCGAUGGAUCCGCGCUGCAUUAGCUGGUUGGUAAGGUAACGGCUUACCAGGGCAACGCUGCAUAGCCGACCUGAGGGCGGGUUGGGGCCCUCUGGAGCUGAGCGGCGGUCCAGGCUCCGACGGGAGGCAGCGGUAGGGACGCUUGCGCAAUGGGCGGAAGCCUGCCGGAGCAGCGGAGCGUGAGUGAUGAAGGGCUUCGGGUCGUAAAACGCUGUUAGGAGGGAAGAACAUAUGUGUAUGUAACGGUGCGCAUCUGGACGGUACCGAAUCAGAAGGCCACGCCUACCUCCGG
This 496-nucleotide ribosomal RNA is filed under the name uncultured bacterium. RNAcentral's name for it is "partial 16S ribosomal RNA". It matches the Rfam family "Bacterial small subunit ribosomal RNA", at positions 28 to 506 of the family's 1533-position model. The record is from RNAcentral.